UUUGUUUUUCUGUUUUUGUUUUUUUUAUUUCUAAUGUUCGUAAAAACUUUACAAAGAUAAAGAUCAAGGCCUUUAUAGCCAGAUACAACCAUCAAAUUUUUCAUUUAUCUACCUAUAUUUACUGCCAUUACUGUUAGCAUGUUUCUUUGUUGUUGCAUUCAAUUUUUGCAGGGGUUUCGAGGCCGACGGUGGUGACAGAGGCAUGCGCAAGGAGGCUGGCGGCUAGGGGUUAGAAGACCUAGGUGCGGCGCACCUAGGGUUUUUUACUGUUUUUUUUUAUUCUGUUGGGCUAGGGCUGUUAGGUUUAGUUUGGGCUGUUUGUAAUUAUUUUGGACUAUGGGCCUUUUUUAUUUUGGGUUUUGUUUAUUUAGUGUUUGGUUUUGUUUGGGUCAUAUUGGGCCCCGGGCAAAAAUGGGCCACUACAGUUAACACCACCGGUGUAAGUAGAUCCCACCUCUUUAUUUAUAUAUUUAUUUAUAAAUAAUUGGAAUAUCUUACUGUAUAUUUGGUGGGGUUCCGAGGAUCAAA
This 528-nucleotide long non-coding RNA is filed under the name Gossypium raimondii (Peruvian cotton). Its description in RNAcentral is "long non-coding RNA (GRAI_LNC001175)". The record is from RNAcentral. Lineage: Eukaryota; Viridiplantae; Streptophyta; Magnoliopsida; Malvales; Malvaceae.